Hemiscyllium ocellatum (epaulette shark) is the source of this 74-nucleotide non-coding RNA. The record is from the annotation of a RefSeq genome assembly. Lineage: Eukaryota; Metazoa; Chordata; Chondrichthyes; Orectolobiformes; Hemiscylliidae.
GGUCGGUUAGCUCAGAUGGUUAGAGCGUGGUGUUAAUAACACCAAGGCCGUGGGCUCAAUUCCCGCACCGACCA